Molecule: ribosomal RNA, 495 nt
Filed under: uncultured bacterium
Lineage: Bacteria
Description: partial 16S ribosomal RNA
Rfam family: Bacterial small subunit ribosomal RNA
Source: RNAcentral
GACGAACGCUGGCGGCGUGCCUAAUACAUGCAAGUAGAACGCUGAAGGAGGAGCUUGCUUCUCUGGAUGAGUUGCGAACGGGUGAGUAACGCGUAGGUAACCUGCCUGGUAGUGGGGGAUAACUAUUGGAAACGAUAGCUAAUACCGCAUAAUAGCAGUUGUUGCAUGAUAACUGUUUGAAAGGUGCACUUGCACCGCUACCAGAUGGACCUGCGUUGUAUUAGCUAGUUGGUGGGGUAACGGCUCACCAAGGCGACGAUACAUAGCCGACCUGAGAGGGUGAUCGGCCACACUGGGACUGAGACACGGCCCAGACUCCUACGGGAGGCAGCAGUAGGGAAUCUUCGGCAAUGGACGGAAGUCUGACCGAGCAACGCCGCGUGAGUGAAGAAGGGUUUCGGAUCGUAAAGCUCUGUUGUAAGAGAAGAACGAGUGUGAGAGUGGAAAGUUCACACUGUGACGGUAGCUUACCAGAAAGGGACGGCUAACUACGUG